RNAcentral lists this ribosomal RNA (1119 nucleotides) under Peptoniphilus harei. Its description in RNAcentral is "bacterial SSU rRNA". It matches the Rfam family "Bacterial small subunit ribosomal RNA", at positions 1 to 1124 of the family's 1533-position model. The record is from RNAcentral. Lineage: Bacteria; Bacillati; Bacillota; Tissierellia; Tissierellales; Peptoniphilaceae.
AUAAUUGAGAGUUUGAUCCUGGCUCAGGAUAAACGCUGGCGGCGUGCAUAACACAUGCAAGUCGAACGAUGAAACUUAGCUGAUUUCUUCGGAAUGAAAUUAAGUGGAUUAGUGGCGAACGGGUGAGUAACACGUGAGUAACCUGCCUUACACAAGGGGAUAGCCUUUGGAAACGAAGAAUAAUACCCUAUAAAGUCAAAAUAUCGCAUGAUAUAGUGACCAAAGAUUUAUCGGUGUAAGAUGGACUUGCGUCUGAUUAGCUAGUUGGUGAGAUAAAAGCCCACCAAGGCGACGAUCAGUAGCCGGCUUGAGAGAGUGUACGGCCACAUUGGGACUGAGACACGGCCCAAACUCCUACGGGAGGCAGCAGUGGGGAAUUUUGCACAAUGGGGGAAACCCUGAUGCAGCGACGCCGCGUGAUUUAGAAGGCCUUCGGGUUGUAAAAAUCUUUUUUAUGGGAUGAAAAUGACAGUACCAUAAGAAUAAGGUCCGGCUAAAUACGUGCCAGCAGCCGCGGUAAUACGUAUGGACCGAGCGUUGUCCGGAAUCAUUGGGCGUAAAGGGUACGUAGGCGGCCUAGUAAGUUAGAAGUGAAAUAAUAUAGCUCAACUAUAUAAAGCUUUUAAAACUGUUAGGCUUGAGAGAUGAAAGGGAAAGUGGAAUUCCUAGUGUAGCGGUGAAAUGCGCAGAUAUUAGGAAGAAUACCGGUGGCGAAGGCGACUUUCUGGUCAUCAUCUGACGCUGAGGUACGAAAGCGUGGGUAGCAAACAGGAUUAGAUACCCUGGUAGUCCACGCUGUAAACGAUGAGUGUUAGGUUCUUGGAAUAAUCUGGGAGCCGCAGCUAACGCAUUAAACACUCCGCCUGGGGAGUACGCACGCAAGUGUGAAACUCAAAGGAAUUGACGGGGACCCGCACAAGCAGCGGAGCAUGUGGUUUAAUUCGACGCAACGCGAAGAACCUUACCAAGUCUUGACAUAAUACGGAGGGAAUUAGAGAUAGUUUCUUAAGACUUCGGUCUACUGUAUUACAGGUGGUGCAUGGUUGUCGUCAGCUCGUGUCGUGAGAUGUUGGGUUAAGUCCCAUAACGAGCGCAACCCCUAUCGUUAGUUACCAUCAU